Molecule: ribosomal RNA, 378 nt
Filed under: uncultured cyanobacterium
Lineage: Bacteria; Bacillati; Cyanobacteriota
Description: bacterial SSU rRNA
Rfam family: Bacterial small subunit ribosomal RNA
Source: RNAcentral
CGCAAGCCUGACGGAGCAAGACCGCGUGCGGGAUGACGGCCUAAUGGUUGUAAACCGCUUUUCUCUGGGAAGAAGACUGACGGUACCAGAGGAAUCAGCCUCGGCUAACUCCGUGCCAGCAGCCGCGGUAAUACGGAGGAGGCAAGCGUUAUCCGGAAUUAUUGGGCGUAAAGCGUCCGUAGGUGGUUAUUCAAGUCUGCUGUCAAAGCGUGGGGCUUAACUCCAUAGAGGCAGUGGAAACUGGAUGACUUGAGUGCGGUAGGGGUCGAGGGAAUUCCCAGUGUAGCGGUGAAAUGCGUAGAUAUUGGGAAGAACACCAGUGGCGAAAGCGCUCUACUGGGUCGCACCUGACCCUCAGGGACGAAAGCUAAGGUAGCG